Labeo rohita (rohu) is the source of this 275-nucleotide long non-coding RNA. RefSeq lists it as uncharacterized. The transcript is spliced from 3 exons. NCBI's taxonomy places the organism in Eukaryota, Metazoa, Chordata, Actinopteri, Cypriniformes, Cyprinidae. The record is from RefSeq and is a predicted model, not a curated record.
AUCACGCUGAUAGACAAACACCAGAAGUGCUCUCUCUCGCGCAGGCUCCACUUCUUCUGUUCUCAGACAGCGUGCGAUCAGUUCUCAGUGCUCAAAUGCACACACAGUAGUCCAAAUGAUCAGUAAAGAUUUGUUACUGGAGAUACAAUGUGGAAACACAGACCUGUACUGAAGAGGUAACAAACCCAAGGAAGGAGGCUUCAGCUUUGUUGUGCCAGCCAUGGUAAAUACAGGAACAUUCUUCAUGAACAUGUGCAAGAGAGGCUUACAAGGCA